AUACGUAGGGGACGAGCGUUGUCCGGAAUUACUGGGCGUAAAGGGCGCGCAGGCGGAUAUUUAAGUCAGCUGUAAAAGGCAUGAGCUCAACUCAUGUAUGCGGUUGAAACUGGGUAUCUAGAGUGCUGGAGAGGUAGGCGGAAUUCCCGGUGUAGCGGUGAAAUGCGUAGUUAUCGGGAAGAACACCAGUGGCGAAGGCGGCUUACUGGCCAGCAACUGACGCUGAGGCGCGAAAGCCAGGGGAGCGAACGGGAUUAGAUACCCCGGUAGUCCUGGCCGUAAACGAUGAAUGCUAGGUGUGGGUGUCGAGAGGCAUCCGUGCCGGAGUUAACGCGAUAAGCAUUCCGCCUGGGGAGUACGAUCGCAAGAUUGAAACUCAAAUGAAUUGACGGGG
RNAcentral lists this ribosomal RNA (394 nucleotides) under uncultured bacterium. RNAcentral's name for it is "partial 16S ribosomal RNA". It matches the Rfam family "Bacterial small subunit ribosomal RNA", at positions 523 to 918 of the family's 1533-position model. The record is from RNAcentral.